AUGCAAGUCGAACGGAAUAAAGGAGCUUGCUCCUUUUGAUUAGUGGCGAACGGGUGAGUAACACGUGGGCAACCUCGCCCCUGACUCUGGGAUAACUAUUCGAAAGAGUAGCUAAUACCGGAUAUGAAACCUGGAGACAUCUCUGGUUAGGUAAAGUUUUCGGUCGAGGGAGUCGGGCCCGCGGCCUAUCAGCUAGUUGGUGGGGUAGUGGCUCACCAAGGCGACGACGGGUAGCCAGCCUGAGAGGGCGACCGGCCACACUGGGACUGAGACACGGCCCAGACUCC
This 287-nucleotide ribosomal RNA is filed under the name unidentified marine bacterioplankton. RNAcentral's name for it is "partial 16S ribosomal RNA". It matches the Rfam family "Bacterial small subunit ribosomal RNA", at positions 55 to 339 of the family's 1533-position model. The record is from RNAcentral.